CACAAGACACGUUCUGAGAAUGCGGUCACUGUUUGCGAAUCAAACGGGAAGGCUGUGGCGCUGCGGGGAGUCCUGAGUCAGGAAACCUGCCGUCUUUGGAGUACAGGA
Molecule: non-coding RNA, 108 nt
Filed under: Ruminococcus sp.
Lineage: Bacteria; Bacillati; Bacillota; Clostridia; Eubacteriales; Oscillospiraceae
Source: RNAcentral